UUGUAGUAACGUGAUGGUCAAUGU
Molecule: microRNA, 24 nt
Filed under: Oryza sativa (Asian cultivated rice)
Lineage: Eukaryota; Viridiplantae; Streptophyta; Magnoliopsida; Poales; Poaceae
Also listed under: 1 other name
Description: osa-miR1864
Source: miRBase by way of RNAcentral